ACGAACGCUGGCGGCGUGCUUAACACAUGCCAGUCGCACGAAGCUUGGAUACGGUUUCUUCGGAUGAAGUAUGAUAUGACUGAGUGGCGGACGGGUGAUUAACGCGUUAGUAACCUGCCCUUCAGUGGGGGAUAGCGUUUGGAAACGAACGGUAAUACCGCAUCAUGUAUUUUGAUCGCAUGAUCGAAAUAUCCAAGAGUUGUCGCUGAAGGAUGGACUCGCGUCUGAUUAGGUAGUUGGUGCGGUAUCGGCCUACCAAGCCGACGAUCAGUAGCCGGACGGCGAGGUUGAUCGGCCACAUCGGGACUGAGACAGGGCUCGGACACCUACGGGAGGCAGCAGUGGGGAAUAGUGGACACUGGGCGCAAGCCUGAUGCAGCAACGCAGCGUGAAGGACGACGGUUUGCGGAUUGUAAACUUCUGUUCUUAGUGAAGAAUAAUGACGGUAGCUAAGGAGCAAGCCACGGCUAACUACGUG
RNAcentral lists this ribosomal RNA (478 nucleotides) under uncultured bacterium. RNAcentral's name for it is "partial 16S ribosomal RNA". It matches the Rfam family "Bacterial small subunit ribosomal RNA", at positions 29 to 507 of the family's 1533-position model. The record is from RNAcentral.